ACAUGUAACCAAGGUGUUGAUUAUUCCUUGAAGGUCACAAGGUUGAAGGCCGUUGUGGUAAAGGUAUCCUUACCCGAAUGCCAGAGUCGAGUGAGUGGCUCAGCAGUCCCCGGGUUGAGGACACGAAAGCCGUCCGCUGCACCCCCUCGAGUGGAUGUUGACACAACACGACGGAUUGUACAUAAAGCUGAUGGUGUGUUUGGGAACCACGAUAGCAAACACCCCUGCCAUCAGGACAACACAGCAGACGACAACAAUGGCGGUCAUGGUGGACGUCUUCAGCAGCCGCUUGGCGUGGAGGGGACUGACGACACAGAAACAGCGCUCACAGGCGAUGACAGCCGACAGAAACUGAGAGGCUCGCUCUGCGCUGAAUCAAGGCGACGACGUUGACGAGGUCAGCCAGCGCCAGGAGGAAGAGACAGACGUUGAUUCUCUCUCCAAGACCCUGUCUGUAGAACACCAUGGCGCUCACCACGUUUCCGGGGAUUCCCAGGAACAGAAGAAAGAGAAUCAUGAGCCAGAAUAUGGCCUCCGUGAGGAUCUCGUAAAUCUUGAUAGGACAAAGAGAACAGAUUGAGUAGGUGAGGUACAAGAUUUCUAAGUAAACAAUAAUUAUUUUUAAUAUAACACGGAAUUUUUCAGAAAAAAUAUAUAAUUGGUGUUUUUUAUUGUUGUUGUUGUUGUUGUUGUUGUUGUUGCUUUACUUCAACAGAUAGAAUGCUCGACUCAUUCUCAGAAAGCGUUGAACUUGUGGUUGUGAGCAGCCGCACACUGAAGUCUGUCCAUGGUUGCUGAUCGGUUGAACUGAUGUCUGACACAGAAUCCAUUUCUGUCAGUGAUGUGGCAGUGGCAACUACAGCGCGUGUCUACAACUCAUUUUAAAAAUAAAAUUUUAUUGAGUAUGCACCAGACCUACUCCACCCAAGUUAUUCGGGGCUAAAUGAUCUAUGAUGGUCGUUCAAAACAUGAAUAAAUAUUGUAAACCUA
Molecule: long non-coding RNA, 990 nt
Organism: Pomacea canaliculata
Lineage: Eukaryota; Metazoa; Mollusca; Gastropoda; Architaenioglossa; Ampullariidae
Exons: 3
Source: RefSeq, a predicted model, not a curated record